GCAUUCAGGUAGACAGCCCCUUUGUACAUCCAUUCCUCUGUUUCAUCACUAUAGAAAUCAUCAAAAGGCUCUCCGCAUAAUGCACAUGCCUUCUGCUCUUCAUCAGCGGGAACAGCCAUUUCUUCAUCAUCCUUCUUCUCCACAACAGUCUCAGUAGGCAAAAAUCCAGGAACUGCAUCAGUUCCCAAUGCCUCUGCCCCACUGAGCCACAUACUUGCACUAACAAACCACUUGCGAGAGGGU
Molecule: unclassified non-coding RNA, 243 nt
Filed under: Hevea brasiliensis (rubber tree)
Lineage: Eukaryota; Viridiplantae; Streptophyta; Magnoliopsida; Malpighiales; Euphorbiaceae
Source: RNAcentral